Molecule: ribosomal RNA, 442 nt
Filed under: uncultured bacterium
Lineage: Bacteria
Description: partial 16S ribosomal RNA
Rfam family: Bacterial small subunit ribosomal RNA
Source: RNAcentral
CCUACGGGUGGCUGCAGUGGGGAAUAUUGGUCAAUGGGCGAAAGCCUGACCCAGCAACGCCGCGUGAAGGAAGAAGGCUUUCGGUUUGUAAACUUCUUUUUACAGGGAAGAGCAGAAGACGGUACCUGUCGAAUAAGCCACGGCUAACUAAGUGCCAUCAGCCGCGGUAAUACGUAGGUGGCAAGCGUUGUCCGGAUUUACUGGGUGUAAAGGGCGUGUAGCCGGGCUGGCAAGUCAGAUGUGAAAUCCGGGGGCUAAAACCCCGAACUGCAUUUGAAACUGUUGGUCUUGAGUAUCUGAGAGGCAGGCGGAAUUCCUAGUGUAGCGGUGAAAGGCGUAGAUAUUAGGAGGAACACCAGUGGCGAAGGCGGCCUGCUGGAUGACAACUGACGGUGAGGCGCGAAAGCGUGGGGAGCAAACAGGAUUAGAUACCCCGGUAGUC